Molecule: ribosomal RNA, 1337 nt
Filed under: uncultured bacterium
Lineage: Bacteria
Description: bacterial SSU rRNA
Rfam family: Bacterial small subunit ribosomal RNA
Source: RNAcentral
GACGAACGCUGGCGGCGUGCUUAACACAUGCAAGUCGAACGGAAAGGCCCUUCGGGGUACUCGAGUGGCGAACGGGUGAGUAACACGUGGGUGAUCUGCCCUGCACUUUGGGAUAAGCCUGGGAAACUGGGUCUAAUACCGAAUAGGACCACGCGCUUCAUGGUGUGUGGUGGAAGGCUUUUGCGGUGUGGGAUGGGCCCGCGGCCUAUCAGCUUGUUGGUGGGGUAAUGGCCUACCAAGGCGACGACGGGUAGCCGGCCUGAGAGGGUGACCGGCCACACUGGGACUGAGAUACGGCCCAGACUCCUACGGGAGGCAGCAGUGGGGAAUAUUGCACAAUGGGCGCAAGCCUGAUGCAGCGACGCCGCGUGAGGGAUGACGGCCUUCGGGUUGUAAACCUCUUUCAAUAGGGACGAAGCGCAAGUGACGGUACCUAUAGAAGAAGCACCGGCCAACUACGUGCCAGCAGCCGCGGUAAUACGUAGGGUGCGAGCGUUGUCCGGAAUUACUGGGCGUAAAGAGCUCGUAGGUGGUUUGUCGCGUUGUUCGUGAAAACUCACAGCUUAACUGUGGGCGUGCGGGCGAUACGGGCAGACUAGAGUACUGCAGGGGAGACUGGAAUUCCUGGUGUAGCGGUGGAAUGCGCAGAUACCAGGAGGAACACCGGUGGCGAAGGCGGGUCUCUGGGCAGUAACUGACGCUGAGGAGCGAAAGCGUGGGGAGCGAACAGGAUUAGAUACCCUGGUAGUCCACGCCGUAAACGGUGGGUACUAGGUGUGGGUUCCUUCCUUGGGAUCCGUGCCGUAGCUAACGCAUUAAGUACCCCGCCUGGGGAGUACGGCCGCAAGGCUAAAACUCAAAGGAAUUGACGGGGGCCCGCACAAGCGGCGGAGCAUGUGGAUUAAUUCGAUGCAACGCGAAGAACCUUACCUGGGUUUGACAUGCACAGGACGCCGGCAGAGAUGUCGGUUCCCUUGUGGCCUGUGUGCAGGUGGUGCAUGGCUGUCGUCAGCUCGUGUCGUGAGAUGUUGGGUUAAGUCCCGCAACGAGCGCAACCCUUGUCCUAUGUUGCCAGCGGGUUAUGCCGGGGACUCGUAGGAGACUGCCGGGGUCAACUCGGAGGAAGGUGGGGAUGACGUCAAGUCAUCAUGCCCCUUAUGUCCAGGGCUUCACACAUGCUACAAUGGCCGGUACAAAGGGCUGCGAUGCCGUGAGGUGGAGCGAAUCCUUUCAAAGCCGGUCUCAGUUCGGAUCGGGGUCUGCAACUCGACCCCGUGAAGUCGGAGUCGCUAGUAAUCGCAGAUCAGCAACGCUGCGGUGAAUACGUUCCCGGGCCU